RNAcentral lists this ribosomal RNA (330 nucleotides) under uncultured bacterium. Its description in RNAcentral is "bacterial SSU rRNA". It matches the Rfam family "Bacterial small subunit ribosomal RNA", at positions 66 to 422 of the family's 1533-position model. The record is from RNAcentral.
GCGGGCGUAGCAAUACGUCAGCGGCAGACGGGUGAGUAACGCGUGGGAACAUACCUUUUGGUUCGGAACAACACAGGGAAACUUGUGCUAAUACCGGAUAAGCCCUUACGGGGAAAGAUUUAUCGCCGAAAGAUUGGCCCGCGUCUGAUUAGCUAGUUGGUGAGGUAACGGCUCACCAAGGCGACGAUCAGUAGCUGGUCUGAGAGGAUGAUCAGCCACAUUGGGACUGAGACACGGCCCAAACUCCUACGGGAGGCAGCAGUGGGGAAUAUUGGACAAUGGGCGAAAGCCUGAUCCAGCCAUGCCGCGUGAGUGAUGAAGGCCCUAGGG